CACGUCAGCGUGAGAUGCUGACGUGGAAGGAAAGCACGCUCUCAAGGACGCGAUUUCCUUCCACGUCAGCAUCUCGCGCUGACGUGG
Gossypium hirsutum (cotton) is the source of this 87-nucleotide non-coding RNA. NCBI's taxonomy places the organism in Eukaryota, Viridiplantae, Streptophyta, Magnoliopsida, Malvales, Malvaceae. The record is from Rfam.